UAUUUUGGGUAAUCGCUAUAUUAUAUAGAGGAAAGUCCAUGCUCACACAGUCUGAGAUGAUUGUAGUGUUCGUGCUUGAUGAAACAAUAAAUCAAGGCAUUAAUUUGACGGCAAUGAAAUAUCCUAAGUCUUUCGAUAUGGAUAGAGUAAUUUGAAAGUGCCACAGUGACGUAGCUUUUAUAGAAAUAUAAAAGGUGGAACGCGGUAAACCCCUCGAGUGAGCAAUCCAAAUUUGGUAGGAGCACUUGUUUAACGGAAUUCAACGUAUAAACGAGACACACUUCGCGAAAUGAAGUGGUGUAGACAG
Molecule: RNase P RNA, 307 nt
Filed under: Staphylococcus aureus
Lineage: Bacteria; Bacillati; Bacillota; Bacilli; Caryophanales; Staphylococcaceae
Description: partial RNase P RNA component class B
Rfam family: Bacterial RNase P class B
About the family: Ribonuclease P (RNase P) is a ubiquitous endoribonuclease, found in archaea, bacteria and eukarya as well as chloroplasts and mitochondria. Its best characterised activity is the generation of mature 5'-ends of tRNAs by cleaving the 5'-leader elements of precursor-tRNAs.
Source: RNAcentral